UUUUUUUUUUUUUUUUUUUGCCGAAGCGAAAUAAACACACACACCCAAACAAUGAACAGACACGCAGAGAUAACACCGAACACACCGGCCCAAAAGAGCAAUCUAAGGUGGGACCCACGAGAAACAUCCAUCCAACCAAUUGGUUCCAAAACUUAUGUCGCCCUUGGCCUAUAACAAAAACUGUAGCCCUUGGCCUAUAACAAUUAUAGAGUGUGUUUGGAUAGGAGAUUAUUUGAAAUUUUAUUUGGAAUAAUUACUGUAGCACUUUUUGUGAUGUGAUGUAUGUGAGAUAAAAAGGUGAUUGGAAAUAUAAAAAGGUGUAUUGAAAAUUGUAAUGGUGAUGUAAAUAAAUAAAUUUGGGCAAAUAGUCUCCUGACAGUUUUAGAAUCUUUCCGAGGUUUCUAAUAAUUUUACUUGGCACUUCAAAUUUUAAAAAAUUUCAUUUGUCUGCCUUACUUUAAAUUUUUUGUAUCAUUUACAAACUAUUUUAAAAUAUAAUAUUAAAAAAUUGAUUUUGGAAGAGUAAAUAUAAUCUCAUUUCAAAUUUUCCAUUUGUUAUUUUACUUUUUAUUAUAAAAAUGCGAAUAUAGUAAUAAUAAAUGAAAAGUAAAAACAAAAAGUAUGAAUGUUUAUUGUGAUUGGAAAAAAUAUAGUGCGUUUUUUAAAUACCAAAGGUGCGUUUGAUAAAACUGAAAUUUGAAAUUAUUAAAUUAUUGAAUUGUUAAGUAUUAAAUCAAAUACAUUUGAGUGUAUAUCACAUUCAGUCACUUAUUUUUGAAAACAAAUUUUGUCUAAACAAUUCAGUACCACUUAAUUAAUUCAGAUAUUCAAUUUUUGAUUAUCAAACAUAUCUAAACAUAUUAAAAUCUGAACCCAUUAAGUUUAACAAAUUUAAAUGUUGAAUUGAAUUAUCAAACAAAACCCUAGAGUUAAUAAUUGAAAGUUUAUUUGAGCACUUUUAAGGUAACAAAGAUAAUAUUUUCGUUACUGUAAUGUAUUUUUGUCAGGACCCAGAUUCAAAGGCUGGUCCAAGUAAUUUUUGGAUUGAAAUUUACUAGUCCAAAAUGGUUAAUCCAAAUUACUCAAUAGCUAUUGGAUCCAGGUGCGUAAACCCAUUCCAUUUCCUUCACAAUUCCGAUGUGGGAUAUUACAUUCUUCCCACCUUUAAGACUUUGCAUUCUUGCAAAACCCAUCAAAAUUCAAACUGUUUAUUUGGUCAUAUUUGAACUCUUCCCAAUUCCGAUGUGGGAUAUUAUAUUCUUCCCCUCUUUUAAGACAUUGCAUUCUCACAAAAUCCUUCAGAAUUCAAAUUGUUCACUGUUCGAACUCUAGAAGUGGUUACAAGCUCUAGAGGUGGUCUCCGCCGGAUGUGACACUUAGUUCCUUGCACUUUUUUGCAUAGUUGGAACCAUAACCCAUUGACCCAAAUUCAUCCAAUGCAGAGAUCACGUGAGAUUCGCUCUGAUACUAUCACGAUCUAGUCCAAGAGUUGAUUCAAGUAAUUUUUAGAUCAAAAUCCAUUGACCCAAAAUGGUUAACCCAAAUUACUCAAUAAUCAUUAGACCCAAGUACUUAAGCCCAUUCCAUUUCCUUCCCACUUCCGGCAUGGGAUACUACAGUUUCAAGUCAAUUGAAGAAGUUCUAUAAAUCGUUUACAUAUUUUUGAAUUUUUUUUGUUCAAGUUGAUGGCUUGAAAACUAAAAAAUACAACAUGCUAAAAAUUACAUAUAAACUUGUUUGUAAAGUUUUUAAGUUGGUGCAAAAAAGUAUUGUCAUGAUUGUAGAUUAUUGCAAGUUAUUGUUAAAAGUAGGGAAAAUGGCCAUUUUCGUCCCUAAAUUUUUUAUUUCUGUCGAUUUAGUCCCUAACUUUUAUUUCUGGUCAAUUUGAUACAUAAACUUAAUUUUCGAGUCCAAUUAAAGCCUUCUACGGCGGCGCCGCCGUCUAAAAGCAAUUUGGCCCCUAAUUUAACAUCAAACAAGGGCAUUUUGGGAACUUUAAAUUAUCUUCUCUCCACUACCAACCUCCGCCACCAACCACCCACCUCCUCCUCUUAUCCUCCUCUUUCCAUCCACUUUUGAAUUUGGAUAGGAGGGUGACAAUAUGGAGGGUCAAACUGAAAUCCGCAAAGGCAAAGGUUGGUGGUGUCAAACCACACGGCUUUGUUGUUAGGCAGCAACUGGAACUGUAUGGUUGAAACUCCAGCAUUUUCAGAACGAAUUUCCCAAUGACCUCGGAAAUUUGUACGGAAUUCGGGUUCCUUGCCGGAGGGCUGCUGGGUGCCAUCAGGAGGUUGCUGGAAGCCAUCAAAGUUACUGCCAUCUUGGCCUCCAAAACCAAAUUGAAUGCUGCCGAAGGGAUUUCUUAUGCCAAGGGAGAAGCCAUCCUUUUGGACUUGGCUGAUGGGUGUCCUGGCAAAGGUACCAAGGAACGCAAGGGGAAGAACAAGAAAGGCUUUGAACAGAACAACCAUUAAUUCCAAAAUCCCCAAUAUCGGAGAAUGCCCUUUCAUGGGUUCCGUGAAAUAUUUGUCUCCCCUCGCACAGGCCCCCGAUCUCCGUUGGCGCCAUAGGGUCCUCCUCUGCGUACCAGUUGGUUCGAUGCCAGCUCCGCCAGCUCGUGCCCGAUCAUGCUUAUCAUUCGCAUUCGGAGGGGCCAGUGCUCCUGGUCCGCGCCUCCGGGCACUGCUUCCCGGAGUUGCCCACCCAGGUGUACGGUAGUGUGUAGCCCACCACGGACGGGAAGGUGAAGUAGUGGAAGCCGCAAACAGCCCGGCAAAAAUCUUGGACAGUGACACCCCCGGAGGUAAGGAUGAGGUAGAUGCCGUUCUUGUGGUCGACGGGGAAGCGCUUCGAUCGGACCGCUGUGGCGAUGACCUGCUGCAUGGAGAGGCGGGUGAGGUGGGUGCCCUAGGAGCAGCGGGGGUCGGAGUACUCCCCAACGACGAGAACGGAGCGCUAGUCUGGUCGGUGUAGAAGGAGACGGUGCGCCACCACUGGGAGACGGAGGGGGAAGGAGCGGCGCGGCGAUCGGAGGUGGAGAUGGAGAGGAGGAAGUCCUUGAUGAGCAGCUGGUGGGAGGCGACCCACCAACCUUCAGAUGAGGUAGAUGUUGAUCGGGGAGGAGAGGACGAGGCCCAUGUUGUAGCGAAGGUCGACCAAGUCGGAGGAGCCCUCAAAUUUCUUGGAGGCGGAGAGGGACUUAGGGGCAAGCUUUGGGUUGAACUAGGAGUCCGACUGUGUUUGGCAGAGUCUGCUGCUUAGCGGAGGAGUUGGAGGUGGCAGCAUCAUUGUUGAAGGGGACGAUGAGGAGGAAGAGAAGAAUUACUACUGUUUUAGUAAUCAACAUUUUGUGUAUAAUUCUUGUUUAAUGUCACUUCUUUUUAAUUUUUGUUACCGCCCCAUCAUUAAAAUUCCAAAAAUACCCCUUUUGGGUUGCUCAAUUAGGAACUUGAAGGAAACGGUGCGGUGGCUCCGCCGUUGAAUUCCUUAAUUGGAAUCGAAAUAUAAGUUUAAGGAUUAAAUUGGUUACAAAUAAUAUAUAAGGACUAAAUCGACAGAAAUAAAAAGUUUUGGGACUAAAUUGGCCAUUUUCCCUUAAAAGUAUUGUAAAUCAUUCAAAAUUUUGAGUAAUUUAAUAUUUCUUGUCCGAGCCAAUGAUAGAAAAACUAUUAAAGAAAUUUUCAAUCUUGUUAUCACGUUUUAAAUUUUUAUUAAAGAGAUAAAUUUGAUAUGUUAUGACAAUUAAGAGGUCACAUUAGAUGGAUAAAUUUGAAAUGAAAUUGUAUUCUUUAUCCCGAAAUGAAGUUUUUAUUAUUAUAUUUUGAAAUAGGUUUCAAAUGUUACAAAAAAAGUUUAAAACAGGAGAGCCACAUGAGAUUUUUUUAAAGUUUGAGAAUGCCAAGUGAAGUUAUAAAAAAUCUACUAAGUAUCCCUAAUAGUAAAAAAACACACUUUCAUUUAGUUCCAAGUUCGCAGCAUUAACAACCACCCAGGAAACACAUUGGAUUGAGCUGUUCCGUUACAUUACUUCUGCUUCUUAGUGACCGUGCCACACCGGACAAUACAAGUCUACUUACAAACACUGAUUGCAUGACAUUCCUAAUCGGUAGACACUAGACACAUAUGUGAAAUUCAUAAAAUCAAGAGCGUUGAGUCAUCUUUUGGUUUAUUUAUGUCGUUGCUUAAGUCGUAUUUUUGGUUUAGUAUAAGAUUUUUCAAACAAAUUUAGUCUCUGCCUUUGUCACCAUUGAUCAUAAUCUGGAACACCAACUAACUUGGAGCAAGUAAACAGGAAGACUGGUGGAAAGUUCCUCUGCCCAAAAAGAAUGUUGAAUCCUAAAUUCCCCUUUCUCUUGGCAUUUGUUUUGCUGCAAGCAGAACUGUGAACCCGUAAUACAAGGAAAGAAGAUGGAAUAAUGGACAGGGGACGGAAAGAGAAGGCUACUGGCUUUGUUUGAUUUGCUCUUUUGAGAAAAAAAAAAUCCCAAAAUUUCUGAACCUUAUGUGCAACCACCUCUAUAACACAUUCAUUCUUUUCAGUAAAGUGCUACAAUCUAAAAGCUCUUUCAAAAUAAUGCUACGCAAACUAUUUGUUGUUUAAUUGGAGGCUGCAUGGUCGAAUGUUAUAUCUUUUGUUUUAUAUUUAUGCAUAUAUUUUCAGAUAAAGACUCCACCUGCAAAAUGAUCUUCACACAAGGUUUAGAAAUAAACCAAACCAAUAUGUCCGCAUAAACUUAGCAACAUGAUGAGGAUUAGAAGUUGCAUUAUUUUGUUAAAAAUAAUAUAGAGAAACUUGUAAGGUAGCUUUACAACUUAACUUAUAGUUUACAUCUUCGGUCCUAUGGUCUCUCGAGGAUCAAUAUCUAGGUCGUAUACUACAUUUCAUGCUAUCUUCAUCUAUUUCUAUUCUAUGGACAAAGAUAACAAUCUCAUAUUGUAGAGAAACUAGCAUGAGCAGAGACUGAAAGCAAAACCUUCUUCCCUCUGUCUCACACGUUACCUCUUGUGUAGUGCCAAAACCAAAUAUAUGAU
This 5031-nucleotide long non-coding RNA is filed under the name Coffea arabica (coffee). Its description in RNAcentral is "long non-coding RNA (CARA_LNC003874)". The record is from RNAcentral. Lineage: Eukaryota; Viridiplantae; Streptophyta; Magnoliopsida; Gentianales; Rubiaceae.